AACACUUAUCAAUAGAAUUUGAAAUUUAUUGCUAUAAUUGCAAAGAAGAGAUUAAUCACUUUGGAUACAAUGUAAAGGGUUAACAGAAAAUCACGAAGAUGACUCUAACAAUUGAAAGUUAAUGGACCAACACCAAAUCAGCAACAUACAUGUCAUAGUGCUGAGAAAAUAAAAAUAGACUGAGAAAUAAAUGUUGCAAAGUGUUGUUUCCAAGCCAUUUAUCAUUCCAAAAUAUAAUCUUUUUCCAUCCCCUAACUUUCUUGUUUUAAAAUUUCCAUUUCCAUUUAUCUAGCAAAGUAAUAUUGAACAAUUAUAAUAUCAAGACCUCCCUCUUAUUUUGUUCUACAUAGAUUCUCAACUGAUCCAAUGGAUUUUCUUGGUUUCUUCAACUCCUUCCCAAAGAAAGGCUCGCUGAAUUCCAGAAGAAUCUUCUAUGGAGAUUUGUCCAAAGACAAAAAAAUAAUAUUGUGGUAUCUGUGUGAGCUCAGCACUCAAAAUGAUAACUCUUCCUCUCAUAACCUUCCUCUUCAAAUUUAUAAUAUCUUCCUGAUAUUUUCUAGAACUAACUUCCAAGUGGAACAACUUCUUAGAUUCCCCACCUAUCAGAACACCCAAAAAAAAAUUAAUGAGACAUAAUCUAUACAACAAGAUAAGAAUGUUGAAGCUUAUUGAAGAAAAUUAUGAUCCACGUUGAUUCCAUAAAGCUUCCAUUUGAAGAAACUAAUUCAAAGGCCUCUCAGGUGAGUUCGAACCUACAAAGGAUAAACUUUAAGCUCCAUAGCUUUUUCCCACAAAUGAUCUCCUACCAAUAUUGUGCCAUAUGCAAACUAUAACAAAUUAAAAUGUGUUAUAAUUAACUUGAAAUCCUUUGAAACCUUCAUUUGUCACUGCUUUUUGCACUAGCCCUACUAACUCUUGAUUGUGUUGAGAAAAAAAAAAGGGAGAAAAUGGGUCGCUUGACUUAGGCCUUGUUGAACUUCAAAGUUUUUUGGAUUUGAGAGCUGACAUGAAAUU
RNAcentral lists this long non-coding RNA (1014 nucleotides) under Lathyrus oleraceus (garden pea). Its description in RNAcentral is "Pisum sativum (pea) long non-coding RNA (PSAT_LNC013783)". The record is from RNAcentral. Lineage: Eukaryota; Viridiplantae; Streptophyta; Magnoliopsida; Fabales; Fabaceae.